Pelodiscus sinensis (Chinese soft-shelled turtle) is the source of this 386-nucleotide non-coding RNA. NCBI's taxonomy places the organism in Eukaryota, Metazoa, Chordata, Testudines, Trionychidae. The record is from RefSeq and is a predicted model, not a curated record.
GACGCAGCCCCUGGACGGGGACGAGCCCCUGGCGGAGGUGAUGUGGGAGUACAAAUGGGAGAACACGAAUGGGGCAGAGCUCUAUGGGCCCUUCAGCAGCACCCAGAUGCAGGAGUGGGUGAACCAGGGCUAUUUUGAGCAUGGAGUCUACUGCCGCAAGGCCGACAAUUCGGAAGGCCAGUUCUACAACUCCAAGCGGGUGGAUUUUGACCUGUACACGUGAUCUGCGACUGGCCUGCGACCCCUCGAGCCGAGGGGGCUGGACUUGGGUCUGGGAGAGCCAGGGAGGGAGGUUGGGGUGCAUAUGGGGCGGAGGGGCUUGUGGGGUGUGGAUGUCUCGUCUUUAUUUUUUUUCUUGCUGGAUUAAAAUAUAUCUAUGUCUUGUA